This 279-nucleotide ribosomal RNA is filed under the name uncultured bacterium. RNAcentral's name for it is "partial 16S ribosomal RNA". It matches the Rfam family "Bacterial small subunit ribosomal RNA", at positions 506 to 784 of the family's 1533-position model. The record is from RNAcentral.
UGCCAGCCUCCGCUGUACUACGGAUUGUGCAAUCGUUGUUCGGAAUUAUUGGGCGUAAAGCGUGCGUAGGCGGACCGUUAAGUCUGAUGUGAAAUCCCACGGCUCAACCGUGGACGUGCAUUGGAUACUGGCGGUCUUGAGUCCCGGAGAGGAGAGCGGAAUUCCUAGUGUAGAGGUGAAAUUCGUAGAUAUUAGGAGGAACGCCAGUGGCGAAAGCGGCUCUCUGGACGGUGACUGACGCUGAGGCACGAAAGCAUAGGUAGCAAACAGGAUUAGAUA